UAUGAUGAUGUGCCGUUUAAUUUUGUUUAAUACGGAAAUACUUAUUUUUUCUCUAUUUUAGUGCAGUUGGAAUUUGAAACAACAAUAAUAUUGGUUUUGUGUUCGUUAUAAUGUGUAUGUUUACAGUGUGUUACACUUCAAUGUGAAUAGCAAGUGUAGUGUAUUUUAUUUAGUACUAAGAUAAUUAUUUAUCUGUUAUUUGAUCCUAAUUCUAUUCUAGUGCAAUUGAAAGUUCUAAUAGCAAUAAUAUUCCUUUUGUGUUUGUUGCGAUGUGUAUACAUAUAUAUACUCUGUGUUAUUUUAAUGUAAUAGCAUUGUUGUUGAAAUGUAUAAUUUAUUAUUGGUGCUGUUUCAAUGCUUCGUUUCGAGUGGUUAUAUUUAUAUUUCUACAAUUCUAUUCUUCAACGCUGCGUCGCUCGCUUGGAAUAGUUACACGGCGCGUGUUGGUAUCAUCUAUUCUUCGUUACAUUGUCAACGUUUAUUAUAACUACCUUCACUUAUCCUAGAACUUUUCCUGUUGCCAUCUUGACCGUUUCGGUAAUAUCUGCUUCAGUACUCUGUAAGUAUUUAUUUAAAUUUGGUAGUAAGCUUCCUAUAACUGUGUUGGCUUCUGCGUAUACCCUUUGAUGUGAGUAACAAACUUAUUUACUAUUAUCAAUUUCUUUACAACGUUUUUCUCCUUUUUAGGUUACGAUUGUUUACCUCAGUAUUUAUUACCUUCGGUAUUUUUGUACCUGUGAGUAGAAUGGUCUCAAAAUUUUCCAUUGGCCAACCCUGACAGUCGUAUACUAUGUUCUACGAAAUGGAUCCAUAACCUGUCUUUGUACAUACACUUCCUUUUACGAUGAUUAAUUGUUCACAAGGUUUCCACUGUCUGUACUAUUCGACAAGCAGCACUACACUACACACUACUGCACUGUAUUGCCUUGAAAUUGUUUAGUUUAUUGUUAUUUCGGUUAUGCGCUAGUUUUACUUGUUCAAGUGCACUGUUCACGGAAUCCCAUUCACUUUGAUCUUGACGUUUUGAUUUUGCAAAAU
Molecule: long non-coding RNA, 1038 nt
Organism: Bombus pyrosoma
Lineage: Eukaryota; Metazoa; Arthropoda; Insecta; Hymenoptera; Apidae
Exons: 5
Source: RefSeq, a predicted model, not a curated record